GGCUCCCCAAGAAAACAGUUUUGCGUGGAGCCUAGACGAAACACAUUGGAGCAGUCAACCGUUCCGAAGCUUUCAUGGUGACGUUGUAAAUUUUUAUCAUCUUAUUGAGGAAGCUUAUUUGAAGAAAGAGCAGUUUUCUUUACUGGAGUAACAAGGGACUACGGAUCUGAAGGUCACAACAUUUAACGAUUUCUAAAAGGAAAGUAAGGUAGCUGUUUGUUCUCAAGUGUUUCGUUUAUUCUGUCUCGGACAGUACUGAAUUUACUAACCUUUCAUUUUUCAGAACUCGAAUAGUUCCUCUAAAAAGAGUGUGUUUGGGUGAUAGAGUGAAUGUGUGUGUGCCAUAUAUACUAAUAGUGGGAUGGGAUUACCUUUUUUUUAAUUGAAACAUUAAGCCAUCUAUCAUCCUUGUAUUUUCUUUGAAAAAAAAACAAAAAACUGGAUGGUAGGUGGGAGUGAAAACGGAAAACACUAUAUUCUUUUCUUUCUCUCAAAACUCUCGCCUAACAUUUUCAUCGCUCCCGUGGAAUUCCUCAAAUUAUAGCAAAGUUCCUUCGCCUGCUGGCUUCCGCUGCAGAAGCGCAUCCAUAUGGACGAGACUGGCUGGACUAUACUGCGUAUCCUGUCGCAGCGAAACAACGACGAAAUAGCGAAGGAAUUCGUUAAGCUUAAGUCCGAAGCACGACAGGAAAUUGCGGCUCAGGGUUAAAGGCAGACAAAAAAUAACCAAAAAGUUAAACAAAUAUGUCAGUGUUGCGUGGACCGAAACAAAUAAUAAUUCGUUAUAACUAUUCGUGCAUAUAAGACAGAGCAAAAAAAAAAAAGAAACACAAAAAUCCUAUCCAACUUACAUUAAACUAAGCCCUAUCAAGCAGAAUAAAAAAGGAAAAAGCAAAGCAUAGAUAUGAAAAGUGACAAAAGAAACUAAUGGAAAAAAGAUAAGGAACUAUGAUAAAGGUAUAGAGAAAAGGUGACAGAGCUGGAUCCCCUACUGGAAGAGAUAGUGCAAGGAGAGAAUAGCAGAGAACGUACGAGAUAAAAAAAAAGCAAACGGAAAGAAAGAGACGCGUAAGAUCAGCAAAGUUCACAACUUAUCUCUAAAUCUCGAACUAUAUUUCUAUUCCUACAAUCGAACCAUCACUGUGUGUAUCCUAAAUCGCAAAUCGUGUAUUGUCGUCAUAGUUAUACAACAAAAACUCGUCGUCUAUAGGCGUCUCCCUGCAGAGGCCGACGUUUGCGUCGGGAGCGGCGGCGUUCCGUCCGUUGCGCUAUCGAUCCGGUAUCCGGUGCGCCCGACACGUUUACCCAUAUUUUCCGACUCCAAUCACUCCAGCAACUGAAUCAAUCGAUGUUUGAGAGCGAUCCAAAAAAUGCUCCACAUAUCCACCUUCUCUAUAUCUGAUGUUAUAUUCCACUGCGUUCUACGUUCUGAGUUCGUUCGUAAGCAGGUGAUCUCGUUCCGUUUUGCAUAGAGCUAUAUCAGGUUAUAGGCAGUUUAGUGAAGUAAAACAAAAAGAAAAAAGAAAAUACCGAAGCCAAACAACAAGGAAAAAAAUCAAUCAAAAAAAAACUACACAACUUGCUCGUAAAGUAUUAUUUCCUCCUC
Long non-coding RNA from Anopheles coustani, 1606 nucleotides. RefSeq lists it as uncharacterized. The record is from RefSeq and is a predicted model, not a curated record. NCBI's taxonomy places the organism in Eukaryota, Metazoa, Arthropoda, Insecta, Diptera, Culicidae. The transcript is spliced from 2 exons.